RNAcentral lists this ribosomal RNA (497 nucleotides) under uncultured bacterium. Its description in RNAcentral is "partial 16S ribosomal RNA". It matches the Rfam family "Bacterial small subunit ribosomal RNA", at positions 28 to 507 of the family's 1533-position model. The record is from RNAcentral.
GAUGAACGCUGGCGGCGUGCCUAAUACAUGCAAGUCGAGCGAACGGACGAGAAGCUUGCUUCCCUGAUGUUAGCGGCGGACGGGUGAGUAACACGUGGAUAACCUACCUAUAAGACUGGGAUAACUUCGGGAAACCGGAGCUAAUACCGGAUAAUAUUUUGAACCGCAUGGUUCAAAAGUAAAAGACGGUCUUGCUGUCACUUAUAGAUGGAUCCGCGCUGCAUUAGCUAGUUGGUAAGGUAACGGCUUACCAAGGCAACGAUGCAUAGCCGACCUGAGAGGGUGAUCGGCCACACUGGAACUGAGACACGGUCCAGACUCCUACGGGAGGCAGCAGUAGGGAAUCUUCCGCAAUGGGCGAAAGCCUGACGGAGCAACGCCGCGUGAGUGAUGAAGGUCUUCGGAUCGUAAAACUCUGUUAUUAGGGAAGAACAUAUGUGUAAGUAACUGUGCACAUCUUGACGGUACCUAAUCAGAAAGCCACGGCUAACUACGUG